RNAcentral lists this long non-coding RNA (340 nucleotides) under Mytilus galloprovincialis (Mediterranean mussel). Lineage: Eukaryota; Metazoa; Mollusca; Bivalvia; Mytilida; Mytilidae. The record is from RNAcentral.
GCUUUGAGAAUAUCAAAAGAAAAGAAAGGGUCACAGUACGUUUUUUCCGGCUAAAAUACAAAAUAGGAAAAUUCCAUACAGAAUCCUUCAGAAAAUGCACUUUUUUAGAGUUACCUCCCCUUAAAAUGCCAAUUUAAAAAAAAAAUAAAAACAACCAAAAAUAAUUAACAUUUGCAAAAAUAUCAAUAUUUAGAAGUUAUAUUCUUAUAAAUUGGUACUUUUAAAUGAAAAUGUACAUUAAACAUCUGCAUUCCUGCAUCACAUUUUGCUAACUUGACGGAAAAUCUGGACCUUUGAUUCUCUGUUUUUUACAAUCCAAGAUGGAGGAAGACACCCAUAC